UACGUGGGGGGCAAGCGUUGUCCGGAAUCAUUGGGCGUAAAGCGCACGUAGGCGGCCCUGUAAGUCCGUUGUGAAAGUCAAAGGCUCAACCUUUGAAUGCCGAUGGAUACUGCAGGGCUAGAGUCCGGAAGAGGCGAGUGGAAUUCCUGGUGUAGCGGUGGAAUGCGCAGAUAUCAGGAGGAACACCAAUAGCGAAGGCAGCUCGCUGGGACGGUACUGACGCUAAGGUGCGAAAGCGUGGGGAGCGAACAGG
RNAcentral lists this ribosomal RNA (253 nucleotides) under uncultured bacterium. Its description in RNAcentral is "partial 16S ribosomal RNA". It matches the Rfam family "Bacterial small subunit ribosomal RNA", at positions 524 to 776 of the family's 1533-position model. The record is from RNAcentral.